This 103-nucleotide non-coding RNA is filed under the name pig gut metagenome. Its description in RNAcentral is "Moco (molybdenum cofactor) riboswitch". The stretch from base 6 to 95 matches the Rfam family "Molybdenum/Tungsten riboswitch aptamer (Moco RNA motif)", at positions 13 to 119 of the family's 135-position model. The record is from RNAcentral.
UUACACUCCGAGUUUUAAAGCCUAAACCGUACAGGCAUGGCUUUUAAACCGCGGGUAAUGCGGGAAACUGCACUGCCUUCCGUUUUGAAAAGGAGACAGAUAA